UUCUGGACUUCCAGUUAUUGACGGAGUCACUAACUUCAUUACAUCUCCUUUUGUUUACAAUUUUAGAUAAAUACAAGAAAUUUGGAGAUGGAGCAAUAUGUGGCCCUCGUUUAUGAUUCUGGACACCACAUUUUGGUUUUGAGUUGCCCGAAGCAGUCACUGAACACUAUUUUUGUUUUGUUCUGAUCUCGACAUUGUCGAUAGAGUCCAAAUCAUCACUGCAUCUUCUUUUAUGGACUAUUUUUAAAAAUACAACUUAUCAAGAAAUGGAGUAAUAUGUAGUUAUGGAUCACCACAUUUAUAACUUCAUGUUUCCCGCAGCAGCCACUGAAAACAAAUUUUGUUUUGUUUUGAUCAGGACAUGUCCACAGUCCACUUCAUCACAACAACUAUUUUAUGGAAUAUUUAAACAAAAAACCAGUGGUGUAGAGAUGUCAAUAUCAACCAACAUUCUGCAUGAACUAUUUCAGCGAAAUGUGAAAAAACUUUGUGUUUAGUUUAAACUACAGU
This is a long non-coding RNA of Thrips palmi, 510 nucleotides long. RefSeq lists it as uncharacterized. The record is from RefSeq and is a predicted model, not a curated record. The transcript has 4 exons. NCBI's taxonomy places the organism in Eukaryota, Metazoa, Arthropoda, Insecta, Thysanoptera, Thripidae.